This 54-nucleotide transfer RNA is filed under the name Cryptocephalus pusillus. RNAcentral's name for it is "tRNA-Cys". Lineage: Eukaryota; Metazoa; Arthropoda; Insecta; Coleoptera; Chrysomelidae. The record is from RNAcentral.
GCUACCUUAGUACAGUCAAGAUACUGCAGCUAUUUAAUCUUCAUUGAGCAGGCA